RNAcentral lists this long non-coding RNA (1657 nucleotides) under Panax ginseng (ginseng). RNAcentral describes it as "long non-coding RNA (PGIN_LNC010774)". Lineage: Eukaryota; Viridiplantae; Streptophyta; Magnoliopsida; Apiales; Araliaceae. The record is from RNAcentral.
AUAGAUAAUAAUACAGAAAUUCAAAAUUGACAGCCAACUUUUGUUUAUAUAUUAUAACUGACCAAGAUAAAACAUAGAGACAAUAGCUUUGAGAGUUCUCAACUCUUCCUUAAAGUCAAGCCCCACAAACUAAUUAAAUUAAAUUAAAUAUAUUCCACUUAGGACUGACGAGUAACUGUAAUUAAUAACGUUCAAAUCAUUAGUGGUGACAUUAGCUAGUUAGGGUAUAUUUAGGUUAUUCUCAUAAUACAACAAAUUCUAUUAGUAUCCUCCCUCCACUUUCCGUAUGAAAUCUCUUAGCACUCUGGCUGCCAAAUAAAUGAAGGGAUAAUUAUUAGACCCCAAAUGAAGUGCUUCUUGUAUGGCUUUGGCCUUUGGCUUGCAUUGGGGUUUAUUUUCUACACAAAAAAAGAAAAAAAGAGUGAAGUUAAAUUUGAAUACAUAACAAAAUGAAGCCAAAGUCGUAAAUUGUUUUUAUUAGCAAAAAAGUGUUCAGACAUAGACAUAGUGGUAGGGAACCAAUGCUCCUCCCUCACCUAGUUAUAGUUAGGCUACAAGUUGUUGUUCUCUUAGUACGUAGUACACUACCCCAAUAAAAACAGAAAAGAAUAGUGGACGUACUUCCAAAAGUUAUGGAGGGCAAUUGCCGCCAUUUAUAUAAAUAAAUGUACGUAGCCCCGCCCAAGUCUGUAGAUAGAUAGCAUCACCAUGUGGUUCUACCUCAAAAUAGAAUAUCCUUCACUUCAAUUCUUAGUUCCAUUGUCCUUGCUGCUCUACUGGCUGGUCGAGGACGGUGAAUAUCCAGGUGAGUACCUAACACUUGGACUAGAACAGCCCACAAAGGAAAAGAUGUCAAAAAAAUGCCAUCAUCUCAGACCAUAUAUACUAUCUUGAAGAAACAUAAGUAAGAUGCGACAAUCAAAAUAAACCUAAAACAACACAUCCUGAAUCUAGAUGGAAAAGCUUCACUCACCUGUAUUGUGGUGAACUUGGGCUAUAGUCUGGGUUCGCACCAGAAUUAUAAGGACUGUAAAAUAUGAAGCCAAUCGUUAUAGAGUGCAAGGUGUUUAACCACCUUAACUUGACACAUGAAUCAUGUAACAUAAAGUAUUACCAUACAUCACCAUUAUUAAGAUGCAUGGUUUGUUAAAAGCAUUGAAAUUUCAGGUAGUAAGGUGUGGAAAGAAAAGCGUGUCGAAAAGGAACAGCUCAAACUUGCAGUCGGCAUAAAGUUAAUCAUGUAGCAUACACAUGAUUUAAGGUAUCACUAAAAGCUUGCAGAUUAAGGAGAAAGCUGAACUAUGUAAUAAACUACAUUAUUACAUAAAAGGAGAAACAGAGUGUUUCAGUAUCACUUUCCUCAAUUUAGAUAGAUCAAUGAUCCUAGAGUACAUUUGAAGAUCAUAAAAAUUAUAUAUGUUCAAAAAAAGGAAGCUUGUAAACAGAUGACCCGUCCAAGGUGAAAAAGAAAGAAAAGGAACAAGCAAACAAAUUACAAUACUAGAAAUACCGAGGUCACCCAUAAAAUUAAGAUAUAGUACAAGAUUUACCUGCUGGGACUGUAUGUUGGACUUGAAGGGGAAUAAGAUGGAGAUGUCGGUGAAUAUGAUGGUGAUGUUGGGCUGUAAGAAAAAAGAGAAAUUUAAUGUUCUAAAAU